ACCACCACCUCUUCCACCACCACAAGGAGGAGAAGCCCGCGGAGGAGGUGAUAUACUCCGAGACAGCCUACUCCGGCGGCGAUGACUACGCCUCCGGCUACACCGAGACUGUCGUCGCCGAGUCGGCUUCCGAUGAGUACGAGAAGUACAAGAAGGAAGAGAAGCAUCACAAGCACAAGGAGCACCUCGGCGAGAUGGGCGCUGUCGCCGCCGGUGCCUUUGCUCUGGUAAUUCGUCUUGAUCAUAGGUUUCGGUUCUGCUAAUGAUCACCUACAAACAAUUUAAGUUGACAUUAGAACACAUGGCGAUGCAACAGUACGAGAAGCACGAGGCGAAGAAGGACCCCGAUCACGCCCACAAGCACAAGAUCGAGGAGGAGAUCGCUGCGGCGGUGGCGGUUGGCAGCGGAGGCUAUGCCUUCCACGAGCACCAUGAGAAGAAGGACGCCAAGAACGAGGCGGAGGAAGCGAGCGGAAAGAAGCAUCACCACCACCUCUUUUAGGGGCUGCCCUCUUUGAUCGG
Molecule: long non-coding RNA, 522 nt
Filed under: Musa acuminata (dwarf banana)
Lineage: Eukaryota; Viridiplantae; Streptophyta; Magnoliopsida; Zingiberales; Musaceae
Description: long non-coding RNA (MACU_LNC006565)
Source: RNAcentral